RNA transcript from Quercus robur (English oak), 1948 nucleotides. It is a transcript of the gene named 4-hydroxybenzoate polyprenyltransferase, mitochondrial-like, with no coding region annotated. The record is from RefSeq and is a predicted model, not a curated record. NCBI's taxonomy places the organism in Eukaryota, Viridiplantae, Streptophyta, Magnoliopsida, Fagales, Fagaceae. The transcript has 10 exons.
CCUCUAUGUUUGCCAAACAAGCUCCACCUGUUGAAAUCCACUGAUAUUAGUCCGGGGGUGAUGCAGAGGAGCAAAAAUGGCGCGGUAUUUGGCGGGCGGAGCAUUUCGUAUGCGUAGGCUUCAGAAAUCUUCUCUUUCUUCUUCUUCCUUCUAUCUCGCUCGCUCCAUCUUCAAUCCCCUAUCUUCUCCUCCUCCUCCUCCUCCUCCUCCUACUACUACUACCUUUUACCAAAUCCCAAUCCCUAACCCUAAUUAUUCCAACACCUUCACUCCCACCUCUGAAAUUUUCAAAUUCGGUUGCGAUUUUCGAUCCUUUGCCCACAUUUCAACAAGCAGCGUGGAGGAAAAGAACAAUGAUGAUGAUGAUGAUGGUGAUCGAUCCAAGGCGGUGGUGUCUACUUCUUGGAUUGACUUGUAUUUGCCGAAACACGUUCAACCUUAUGCUCGUCUCGCUCGCCUUGAUAAGCCCAUUGGGACUUGGCUCCUUGCUUGGCCUUGUAUGUGGUCGAUUAGCUUGGCGGCAAUUCCGGGACAUUUGCCUGAUUUUAAGAUGAUGUUGCUGUUUGGUUGUGGAUCUUUGCUUCUCAGGGGUGCUGGAUGUACCGUAAAUGACCUCAUCGAUCGCGACAUUGAUACAAAGGUGGAACGUACAAAGUUGCGACCAGUUGCAAGUGGUCUUUUGUCACCAUUUCAAGGGCUUUGUUUUCUUGGGUUUCAGUUGCUUUUGGGUCUUGGGAUUCUCCUUCAAUUGAAUGAUUAUAGCCGCAUUUUGGGGGCUUCAUCCUUGUUGCUAGUAUUCUCCUAUCCUCUUAUGAAGAGGUUUACAUUUUGGCCUCAAGCCUAUCUAGGUUUGACCUUUAACUGGGGUGCUCUGUUAGGCUGGGCUGCAGUUAAAGGAAGUCUGGAUCCAGCUAUAGUGCUCCCAUUGUACAUUUCUGGAGUAUUUUGGACUCUUGUGUAUGAUACGAUAUAUGCACAUCAGGAUAAAGAAGAUGAUUUGAAAGUGGGUGUUAAAUCUACAGCUUUGAGAUUUGGGGAUUCGACUAAGGAGUGGAUUAAUGGGUUUGGAAUAGCAUCCAUCAGUAGUCUUGCCCUCUGUGGAUAUAAUGCUGGGGUUGGGUGGCCAUAUUAUGCAUUUCUGACAGCUGCAUCUGGACAAUUAGCUUGGCAGAUAUGGACGGUUGACCUAUCAUCACGUGCUGAUUGCAAUAGGAAAUUUGUUUCCAACAAGUGGUUUGGUGCUAUUAUUUUCAGUGGGAUCUUAUUUGGAAGAAUUUCAUCAUAGUGGGAAUGAAGGCUUCCAAAUUGAAUUGAACAGUUUAAGUUCAUUUAAAACAAUAGUAAGCUGCUCUCUCUCUGUCUCUCUCUGUCUCUCCAAGACAUGUAUAUACACUGAAUUGAUAGACUUGAAUGGGUGUUCGUGGGUCAGUUCAGGUUGGUCGCAUAUUGACCCACUACAGACCGACGGCUGUGGGCUGCUUUUUCAGACAUUUGGUGUUCGUGAUAAUGGUUGGGGGAUGGAUCUUUGGGAAAGUUUGGCGGAAAAUUGAGAGAGAGAAGAGGAGUGGUAUGUAUGUAAAGCCCAAUUGCUUUUAAUUAGAAAUCGGGGGAGAUUCUAAAGUGGACCUUUUAAAAGUCCAGCUUUGGAAAUUUUGUGGUCAUUGUAAAAUUAUAUUUUAGAGAGUUGUAUGGAAUCUAUGGAUACUGUUGUAAGAUUCCUUUCUUUUCCUCUUUUUUUUUUUUUUUUUUUUUUUAAUUUUUUUAAUUUUUUUAUAUUAUUUUAAUAUCUUUUAGAGAGCUGUAUGUGUUCUGCUGUAAGAUUCAUUUUUAUGGAUACUGUAUUUGUUUUUUGUUUUUUGUUUUUUUUAGAGAGCUGUAUGGAUACUGAUGUAAGAUUCAUUUUUAUGAAGAAAUGUAGAUGGGAUGAAAAUGGUAUACUUUAACUUUA